GUUAUGGAGGAUUGAGUUUUUCAUCCAAUGAUGUUGGACAAGUGCUUGCCAUCACAGGUUUUGGUCUUCUAGUGUUUCAACUAUUUCUUUAUCCUCCGUUGAUGAAACACCUUGGGCCCAUUAUGUCAGUCCGUGUUGCAGCGGUUAUAUCUGUACCACUACUUGCCGCUUAUCCUUUUAUGACUAAGCUGUCAGGAAUUGUUCUUGCUUUGAUAAUCAAUUGUGCAUCUUUGGCGAAGAAUGUUCUAUCUGUAAUUAUUGUUACGGCGACAUUCGUCCUACAAAACAAAGCUGUGGC
This 298-nucleotide unclassified non-coding RNA is filed under the name Hevea brasiliensis (rubber tree). The record is from RNAcentral. Lineage: Eukaryota; Viridiplantae; Streptophyta; Magnoliopsida; Malpighiales; Euphorbiaceae.